RNAcentral lists this ribosomal RNA (938 nucleotides) under Sphingobacterium sp. XQ3m-1. RNAcentral's name for it is "bacterial SSU rRNA". It matches the Rfam family "Bacterial small subunit ribosomal RNA", at positions 341 to 1281 of the family's 1533-position model. Lineage: Bacteria; Pseudomonadati; Bacteroidota; Sphingobacteriia; Sphingobacteriales; Sphingobacteriaceae. The record is from RNAcentral.
ACGGGAGGCAGCAGUAAGGAAUAUUGGUCAAUGGGCGGAAGCCUGAACCAGCCAUGCCGCGUGCAGGAUGACUGCCCUAUGGGUUGUAAACUGCUUUUGUCCGGGAAUAAACCUCCUUACGAGUAGGGAGCUGAAUGUACCGGAAGAAUAAGGAUCGGCUAACUCCGUGCCAGCAGCCGCGGUAAUACGGAGGAUCCGAGCGUUAUCCGGAUUUAUUGGGUUUAAAGGGUGCGUAGGCGGCCCGUUAAGUCAGGGGUGAAAUACGGUGGCUCAACCAUCGCAGUGCCUUUGAUACUGACGGGCUUGAAUCCAUAUGAAGUGGGCGGAAUAAGACAAGUAGCGGUGAAAUGCAUAGAUAUGUCUUAGAACUCCGAUUGCGAAGGCAGCUCACUAAGCUGGUAUUGACGCUGAUGCACGAAAGCGUGGGGAUCGAACAGGAUUAGAUACCCUGGUAGUCCACGCCCUAAACGAUGAUAACUCGAUGUUGGCGAUAGACAGCCAGCGUCCCAGCGAAAGCGUUAAGUUAUCCACCUGGGGAGUACGCCCGCAAGGGUGAAACUCAAAGGAAUUGACGGGGGCCCGCACAAGCGGAGGAGCAUGUGGUUUAAUUCGAUGAUACGCGAGGAACCUUACCCGGGCUUGAAAGUUAGUGGAGGAUGCAGAGACGCAUCCGUCCUUCGGGACACGAAACUAGGUGCUGCAUGGCUGUCGUCAGCUCGUGCCGUGAGGUGUUGGGUUAAGUCCCGCAACGAGCGCAACCCCUAUGUUUAGUUGCCAGCAUGUAAUGGUGGGGACUCUAAACAGACUGCCUGUGCAAACAGUGAGGAAGGUGGGGACGACGUCAAGUCAUCAUGGCCCUUACGUCCGGGGCUACACACGUGCUACAAUGGACGGUACAGCGGGCAGCUAGCUGGCAACAGCAUGCUAAUCUCUAAAAG